GGCCUAACACAUGCAAGUCGAGGGGUAUUGUAGCAAUACAAGAGACCGGCGCACGGGUGCGUAACGCGUAUGCAAUCUGCCUCUUACUUUUGGAUAGCCCAGAGAAAUUUGGAUUAAUACAGAAUGUGGUAAUGAACUGGCAUCGGUUUAUUACUAAAGAUUUAUUGGUAAGAGAUGAGCAUGCGUCCCAUUAGUUAGUUGGUAUGGUAACGGCAUACCAAGACGAUGAUGGGUAGGGGUCCUGAGAGGGAGAUCCCCCACACUGGUACUGAGACACGGACCAGACUCCUACGGGAGGCAGCAGUGAGGAAUAUUGGACAAUGGGCGGAAGCCUGAUCCAGCCAUGCCGCGUGCAGGAAUAAGGUCCUAUGGAUUGUAAACUGCUUUUAUACGAGAAGAAAUAGUGCUACGUGUAGUAUGUUGACGGUAU
Molecule: ribosomal RNA, 430 nt
Filed under: uncultured bacterium TX3
Lineage: Bacteria; Pseudomonadati; Bacteroidota
Description: bacterial SSU rRNA
Rfam family: Bacterial small subunit ribosomal RNA
Source: RNAcentral